AAUAUUGCACAAUGGGCGCAAGCCUGAUGCAGCCAUGCCGCGUGUAUGAAGAAGGCCUUCGGGUUGUAAAGUACUUUCAGCAGUGAGGAAGGUGGAUAUGUUAAUAGCAUAUUCAUUUGACGUUAGCUGCAGAAGAAGCACCGGCUAACUCCGUGCCAGCAGCCGCGGUAAUACGGAGGGUGCGGAGCGUUAAUCGGAAUUACUGGGCGUAAAGCGCAUGCAGGUGGUUUGUUAAGUCAGGAUGUGAAAGCCCGGGGCUCAACCUCGGAAUUGCAUUUGAAACUGGCAAACUAGAGUACUGUAGAGGGGGUAGAAUUUCAGGUGUAGCGGUGAAAUGCGUAGAGAUCUGAAGGAAUACCGGUGGCGAAGGCGGCCCCCCUGGACAGAUACUGACACUCAGAUGCGAAAGCGUGGGGAGCAAACAGGAUUAGAUACCCUGGUAG
RNAcentral lists this ribosomal RNA (443 nucleotides) under uncultured bacterium. RNAcentral describes it as "bacterial SSU rRNA". It matches the Rfam family "Bacterial small subunit ribosomal RNA", at positions 360 to 793 of the family's 1533-position model. The record is from RNAcentral.